Molecule: unclassified non-coding RNA, 203 nt
Filed under: Hevea brasiliensis (rubber tree)
Lineage: Eukaryota; Viridiplantae; Streptophyta; Magnoliopsida; Malpighiales; Euphorbiaceae
Source: RNAcentral
ACCAAAGUCACUUCCUUUCCAUGGGAUUGCGAUAGGUAGAAGCCCUCCAUCAAUGGACAAAGCCACUCUCCGUAGGCAAAACCACUCCCUAUGAGCAAAACCGCUCUCUUCAAUGGGCAAAGCUAAAUAACCUUUCCAUUAUUCUCCUAUUUAUAAUGUUAAUUCACCAAUCCUAAUCUGAUUAAAUAUCCAACUCAAUUUAG